CUUUCUUCCCCCCAAAACCAACAUUUAUUAACAUUAAUGCUGUCACAAUACACCAUGAUGAAUUGUAAUAUAAGGAAUUCUGAAUUCCUUGGUCAAUAUUACAUUUUGGUUUGCCAAAUGUUUCAGAAUUUCUUUGUGAACAUGUGACAAAUACACAACAGUUAUUCAUUGUUUAGCUGCAGGUGACAGUUUGGGGAAAACAAUUACCUUACUGAUGAGGCUGCUUUCUAUGAUGCAGGUGAAAACAUGGGCAAAACUG
This 259-nucleotide unclassified non-coding RNA is filed under the name Hevea brasiliensis (rubber tree). The record is from RNAcentral. Lineage: Eukaryota; Viridiplantae; Streptophyta; Magnoliopsida; Malpighiales; Euphorbiaceae.